This is a non-coding RNA of Potamilus streckersoni, 72 nucleotides long. The record is from the annotation of a GenBank genome assembly. NCBI's taxonomy places the organism in Eukaryota, Metazoa, Mollusca, Bivalvia, Unionida, Unionidae.
GCUUCUGUGGCUUAGUGGUUAGAGUGUCCGCCUCAGAUGUGUAAUAUCGAGGGUUUAAUCCCCAACCAAGUU